Long non-coding RNA from Mauremys reevesii (Reeves's turtle), 1033 nucleotides. RefSeq lists it as uncharacterized. The record is from RefSeq and is a predicted model, not a curated record. NCBI's taxonomy places the organism in Eukaryota, Metazoa, Chordata, Testudines, Geoemydidae. The transcript has 3 exons.
CUCUCAGCAGUACAGUCUCUUUGUAUGGAGACUGCCUGGAUUAGGAUUUGCUUCUCAGUCCUCUGGGUUCUUUAUUACUCAGAAAACAUCUGGAGGCCAUGCUGGUGCUGUGUUAUGAGUACUUUUCCUUCUCCGCUCUUUCACUUCACCUAUAAUGAAACAAACAAGGUUUUUCCUUUUCCUCAAAUAAAGAUAUUUGUGGUUCCAUGUUCCUAAAAGACAACUGAGUGUUCACGAGUGCAGAAGAACCAUCUGUAAAGGAUGCUAGAGCGAGUUGCAAACUUAACUACAUGCUACACACAAUGGUUACUUCAUAUAUAACUGAAAUGCAUCCUGUCUCUGGGACAAAACUCAGCAGAUGUUCAACAGCACACAGCAAUGCUGCCCAACAGCCCUGGGUAGAAAGCCAACACUUGAAACUGCAGAGGGAAUUUUAGGUGCAUGCGAUGUUAUUGCCCAGUCUGGAAUUUGGCGAGGGUGCUGAAAUUAAUACAACGACUCAUAUUUCAGAAAGUACCCUGGGAUCGUUGAUGAUCCUAAAUAGUCAGGAUUUUGAUUUAAUCCAGAAGUCACUGGGGCAUAUCCCCAAACAGCACUGAAGUCAUUAAAUGUUCUUGAAGUCAAUGGAGCUAUGUUGAUUUACACCAGCUGAGGAUCUGGCCCAGCACAACCAGCAGAACAGUGUCUGCCUGCCUAACACCAUGAAGGAGAACAGGUUCUGUAAUUAUUCAAGGGGAUGACGAGUGCGGUUUACUGAAUUGCCAGCACUUUCUGCAGCAGGUGUGUGUUCCUUACAUGGCUCCUGUUGAAGUACUGAUUCACACAAGUACUGAGAUCUGAUGGAAUCACAGCAGAAGGUGGGUGUAGCUGCAGUUUGCUGGACUAUAUAGGUUUUUGUACUGUAGAAAUAUAUUCUUUCCUCUAAUCCAUAAUCUUAAGUAAAGGGUCAUGAUUGCCCCCACCUUUUGCUGCAUUGUUACAUGAUGUUGAUGGUAACAAAGAGAAGAGAUAUAAGAAAGAAAAAUAUAAAACC